RNAcentral lists this ribosomal RNA (497 nucleotides) under uncultured bacterium. Its description in RNAcentral is "partial 16S ribosomal RNA". It matches the Rfam family "Bacterial small subunit ribosomal RNA", at positions 28 to 507 of the family's 1533-position model. The record is from RNAcentral.
GAUGAACGCUGGCGGCGUGCCUAAUACAUGCAAGUCGAGCGAACAGACGAGGAGCUUGCUCCUCUGACGUUAGCGGCGGACGGGUGAGUAACACGUGGAUAACCUACCUAUAAGACUGGGAUAACUUCGGGAAACCGGAGCUAAUACCGGAUAAUAUAUUGAACCGCAUGGUUCGAUAGUGAAAGACGGUUUUGCUGUCACAUAUAGAUGGAUCCGCGCCGCAUUAGCUAGUUGGUAAGGUAACGGCUUACCAAGGCAACGAUGCGUAGCCGACCUGAGAGGGUGAUCGGCCACACUGGAACUGAGACACGGUCCAGACUCCUACGGGAGGCAGCAGUAGGGAAUCUUCCGCAAUGGGCGAAAGCCUGACGGAGCAACGCCGCGUGAGUGAUGAAGGUCUUCGGAUCGUAAAACUCUGUUAUUAGGGAAGAACAAAUGUGUAAGUAACUAUGCACGUCUUGACGGUACCUAAUCAGAAAGCCACGGCUAACUACGUG